RNAcentral lists this ribosomal RNA (468 nucleotides) under uncultured bacterium. RNAcentral describes it as "partial 16S ribosomal RNA". It matches the Rfam family "Bacterial small subunit ribosomal RNA", at positions 28 to 507 of the family's 1533-position model. The record is from RNAcentral.
GACGAACGCUGGCGGCGUGCUUAACACAUGCCAGUCGAACGGAAAGGCCCUGCUUUUGUGGGGUGCUCGAGUGGCGAACGGGUGAGUAACACGUGAGUAACCUGCCCUUGACUUUGGGAUAACUUCAGGAAACUGGGGCUAAUACCGGAUAGGAGCUCCUGCUGCAUGGUGGGGGUUGGAAAGUUUCGGCGGUUGGGGAUGGACUCGCGGCUUAUCAGCUUGUUGGUGGGGUAGUGGCUUACCAAGGCUUCGACGGGUAGCCGGCCUGGGAGGGUGGCCGGCCACGUGGGACCUGAGAUACGGCCCAGACGCCUACGGGAGGCAGCGGGGGGAAAUAUUGCACAGUGGGCGGAAGCGUGAUGCGGCAACGCCGGGUGCGGAAUGACGUCCUUCGGGUUGAAAACCGCUUUCGCCUGUGACGAAGAGUGAGUGACGGUAAUGGGUAAAGAAGCACCGGCUAACUACGUG